UGUUUUGAAUUCGUUUAAAAAAAAAGAACAUAUUAAAACAUUUUUUUAUUACAGUAUGAAGACGAGCUGGAAGGUCUCUGCGAAAUGCCAAUAGCGGAGAAGAAAUAUUAGUCGUCAACUUCGUUGAGUUCCCAAAAAAGCUCGCAAAGCAUUUUAGAUAAAUUUUUUCAGUUUCAGUAUUAACACGAACAAAUAUUUUCGAAUGCGCUGUCCUUAAUGGCUCAACAACGUUUUUAAAUGAAAAAUCAUUAGUUAUAUUAAUUGAUGCAAAUUGAGGCAAUUUUAUUCGCUUUUAAUUAAAUAAACAAAAAUAUGAACAUGGAAAUGCAAAUGAUGAAAUGCCCGUUUAUAUGUAUGAAUACUCUUUAUGUGUGAUAAUCAAUGUAAAGAGUGAUCAUAUAUACAUAUAUGCGUACGCAUUGUUUUAGCACGCGCAUUAAGGGACAUACAUAUGGUAUUAUUAUUAUAAUUUUCCAAAAAUAAAAGUUUAGCUUCUUUAAUAGGCCAAAACUCUUGAAUGAAAUGUCAACACCCGACACGAUCAGAUGAUACACUUCUGUGCUGGGAUACCCGUAAGUAAGUAUCAAUCGGCUUAUUUACAAAAACACAUCAUUUUCUCACUUACACUUUGGAGAUGACCACGUCACGCAGGAUUACAGAAGCUCUGCUGGAUUGUGUACGACAGCCACGCAAAGUGCAGCAGCGACCUAAGGUGAUGACGAACAUAGUAAAUGUUUUAGUUACAUAUUUGUGGUUACAUAUUUGUGGUAAAAAUAGAUGCGUCUGAGCGUCCAGCUAAAUUAAUUCCAUAUUGGCGUCCAGACAAAUGAGUACGAGUAAGUCAUGAUUAAAUUAUUAACCUCACGAAUCUCCUGUACACUCUGCAGAAAUUGUGGCAAUGGUUUUGUUUAAAUCUAAGAGCUGGUGCGGCACAUGAAUAAACAGAUGAAUCGACCUUAUGCCCCGCUUCCUUCACCGAUCGUUGAACUACGAGCAAGCAUCAUUAGUAGUAUUGUUGUUAUUAUAUUGUUAACACCCAUAAAAUGCGAUUGCAUCAUGUGUCGCAUAAGAAACGUGAAACUUGUUGACUUGGACAUGCAAACGCAAAAACCUAUUAAAAAUGAAAUGGUUAUCGCGUUGAAUGAGUUAAAAUUGAUUAUGUAAGAUUAUAUUAGUAACAUUUAAUCAAAUAACUUUGCCUGGUUAAAACCGAUUUAUAAACGCUGAUCAAUUUAUAAAUUUUUUUUAAUCAGACUUUAAAUUAUAUUACUAAUGUAAAGCAUAAAUAUAUUUAAUAUAUAAAUUAUGAGUCUUUCUUGAGUGUAUUGAUUAAGUGAUAUUUAUUUGUUGCACGUUUGGCAAUUAUGUUUUACGCUGACGACUUAAUUAUGAGUCUUUUGAGUGUAUUGAUUAAGUGAUAUUUAUUUAUUGCCCGUUUGGCAAUUAUGUUUUACGCUGAUGACUUGGUGCCGGAGUACUGACGUGUUGAGCUAACGACGUUUAUUUCAGAACUAAAAACAUGCGAUACAAUUCUUAGGGCUUAAAGCUAACCGAAUAUGAUUCUUAAAUUAUUUCCUCGUUCAUAGCGGCCACGUAAAUAUGGUGUGUCUGCCGGCUAUGCAACGACAUCCGGCCCAAUGCUUAUUCAGCAAUUGUGGUCGGAGUCAUAUUCAGGUCAACCGUUCGCUGACUCCGCUUAACUACUCCCCCUUUAAGACCAAGGCCGCCCUCGGCCGACCCUAUUUCUGCGAUCACUUCUCUUAACUGUAGCGCAGACUUUCUGGCGCUGGUGAUUCGCCAAAACGGAAGACCGAUGCCAAUGAGCAAAACACAUACCACUCCCACGAUGUAUAUUAUCUGGUAUACGGCUUUGCUACCGGUACCUCUUUGAAUUUCUGGAUCUCCUCCAGGUUACUUUCACUCAGUCGGUGAAGGUACGGAAGACUGAGGAUAUCCCGGCUGGCCGUGAUAUUUAGUAAGGGGGUGUUAGCAGUACCUGGGACCUUAUUCUGCACGUUGUUAUGGUUAAUGAAUAAAGUUCCGUUCACCGCAGCGCGGUCGAUGAAGGUGAUGAGAUGCAUGCCAUGUACCCAGAUUUCGGUGCCGUUGUCCACUUGCACUUUCGCUGGCCUGUCAUUUACGAUGAGAAUUCCGUCAUCUACGAAAGUGAUAGCGACUAAAUUGCUUGGUUGGAUUUCGCAAUUCGCUAUCCCGCCUACGUAAAGCUCUCUGGCGCAUGAACUCCCGGAUGCUAGAUGACAAAAUGUGGCCCCCGGAGAGGCGGUGCAAUUUUCGAGAGCAUGCGUUUCCCCAUCGCAAUCUGCCACGACGUUAUUCAUCAUGCGUAGUAUGAAAUUCUCAUGUGUGACCGGGAAAAUAGCGAACUUUUUGCAAGCAAAUUUAAUUUUCGGAAAUUUAAUAAUAAACUAAAGGAUGUUAACGGACUGUAAAACUUUCACGGACGCAACGGCCAUAAGAUCCCCUAUGGGAGUGGGUUCCUCCAGCCAAACUGAUGCCAAAUCUGAAUGAUCGAGAAUGUUUGGGCUAACAAUGUUAACCUUUGCAAGAGGUGUUGCCAGCAUUAGAUUUUGCAACUCCAUCAUUAACAUUCGAUUCCUGGCUAGUAAUGUCUCAUAUAAAUGGCCAGUAUCGGCUUGAGUGUCCUUAGCUGUUCCGAGAAUUUGACGGACUGUAGAAGUAAGUUGAUUAAUUUGUACCUGGAUUCUUGUGUUAAUUUCUAUUUGCUUAUUGUUUGAAUUAAUUAAUUGUGCCUCAAUGAACCGAGUUUUUUCUAAAUCGCCGGCAUCCGGUGUGCCUGCCACAACCUUCAACAUGGAACCUAAGAAGUCUUAGCUCCUGGCCACUGUGUGGUGCGCGCCCAACGCCUCUAGCAAAUCUCGGAGGUGAUCUGCAUCCACGCUCAGAAGCUUUUUCAUUUGCGACUGUGGGAACAUGACAUUCAAUUGGACCGUUUCUUCUACUCUACGCAUGUAUUCUGAGAGAUUCGCUGAAUGUUUAACGUAGGCGUAUUCUUCCCAUACUAGGACACGGCCAUCGACAAUGGGAAUGUAUUUGGACUGAGAAUAGUCCGUGAUGCGUGCCGAAGUCAAGGAUAGGAAGAAGGGAAGGACAAAUCCAAACCACAAAUGAUGCCAUUUCAAAAUUUGUCAACAUUUAUACGGAAGCAACAGGCCAGGCAGAGUAUGAAGACGAGCUGGAAGGUCUCUGCGAAAUGCCAAUAGCGGAGAAGAAAUAUUAGUCGUCAACUUCGUUGAGUUCCCAAAAAAGCUCGCAAAGCAUUUUAGAUAAAUUUUUUCAGUUUCAGUAUUAACACGAACAAAUAUUUUCGAAUGCGCUGUCCUUAAUGGCUCAACAACGUUUUUAAAUGAAAAAUCAUUAGUUAUAUUAAUUGAUGCAAAUUGAGGCAAUUUUAUUCGCUUUUAAUUAAAUAAACAAAAAUAUGAACAUGGAAAUACAAAUGAUGAAAUAAUGACCACGUCACGCAAGAUUACAGAAGCUCUGCUGGAUUGUGUACGACAGCCACGCAAAGUGCAGCAGCGACCUAAGGUGAUGACGAACAUAAUAAAUGUUUUAGUUACAUAUUUGUGGUUACAUAUUUGUGGUAAAAAUAGAUGCGUCUGAGCGUCCAGCUAAAUUAAUUCCACAUUGGCGUCCAGACAAAUGAGAACGAGUAAGUCAUGAUUAAAUUAUUAACCUCACGAAUCUCCUGUACACUCUGCAGAAAUUGUGGCAAUGGUUUUCUUUAAAUCUAAGAGCUGGUGCGGCACAUGAAUAAACAGAUGAAUCGACCUUAUGCCCCGCUUCCUUCACCGAUCGUUGAACUACGAGCAAGCAUCAUUAGUAGUAUUGUUGUUAUUAUAUUGUUAACACCCAUAAAAUGCGAUUGCAUCAUGUGUCGCAUAAGAAACGUGAAACUUGUUGACUUGGACAUGCAAACGCAAAAACCUAUUAAAAAUGAAAUGGUUAUCGUGUUGAAUGAGUUAAAAUUGAUUAUGUAAGAUUAUAUUAGUAACAUUUAAUCAAAUAACUUUGCCUGGUUAAAACCGAUUUAUAAACGCUGAUCAAUUUAUACAUUUUUUUUAAUCAGACUUUAAAUUAUAUUACUAAUGUAAAGCAUAAAUAUAUUUAAUAUAUAAAUUAUGAGUCUUUCUUGAGUGUAUUGAUUAAGUGAUAUUUAUUUGUUGCACGUUUGGCAAUUAUGUUUUACGCUGACGACUUAAUUAUGAGUCUUUUGAGUGUAUUGAUUAAGUGAUAUUUAUUUAUUGCCCGUUUGGCAAUUAUGUUUUACGCUGAUGACUUGGUGCCGGAGUACUGACGUGUUGAGCUAACGACGUUUAUUUCAGAACUAAAAACAUGCGAUACAAUUCUUAGGGCUUAAAGCUAACCGAAUAUGAUUCUUAAAUUAUUUCCUCGUUCAUAGCGGCCACGUAAAUAUGGUGUGUCUGCCGGCUAUGCAACGACAUCCGGCCCAAUGCUUAUUCAGCAAUUGUGGUCGGAGUCAUAUUCAGGUCAACCGUUCGCUGACUCCGCUUAACUACUCCCCCUUUAAGACCAAGGCCGCCCUCGGCCGACCCUAUUUCUGCGAUCACUUCUCUUAACUGUAGCGCAGACUUUCUGGCGCUGGUGAUUCGCCAAAACGGAAGACCGAUGCCAAUGAGCAAAACACAUACCACUCCCACGAUGUAUAUUAUCUGGUAUACGGCUUUGCUACCGGUACCUCUUUGAAUUUCUGGAUCUCCUCCAGGUUACCUUCACUCAGUCGGUGAAGGUACGGAAGACUGAGGAUAUCCCGGCUGGCCGUGAUAUUUAGUAAGGGGGUGUUAGCAGUACCUGGGACCUUAUUCUGCACGUUGUUAUGGUUAAUGAAUAAAGUUCCGUUCACCGCAGCGUGGUCGAUGAAGGUGAUGAGAUGCGUGCCAUGUACCCAGAUUUCGGUGCCGUUGUCCACUUGCACUUUCGCUGGCCUGUCAUUUACGAUGAGAAUUCCGUCAUCUACGAAAGUGAUAGCGACUAAAUUGCUUGGUUGGAUUUCGCAAUUCGCUAUCCCGCCUACGUAAAGCUCUCUGGCGCAUGAACUCCCGGAUGCUAGAUGACAAAAUGUGGCCCCCGGAGAGGCGGUGCAAUUUUCGAGAGCAUGCGUUUCCCCAUCGCAAUCUGCCACGACGUUAUUCAUCAUGCGUAGUAUGAAAUUCUCAUGUGUGACCGGGAAAAUAGCGAACUUUUUGCAAGCAAAUUUAAUUUUCGGAAAUUUAAUAAUAAACUAAAGGAUGUUAACGGACUGUAAAACUUUCACGGACGCAACGGACAUAAGAUCCCCUAUGGGAGUGGGUUCCUCCAGCCAAACUGAUGCCAAAUCUGAAUGAUCGAGAAUGUUUGGGCUAACAAUGUUAACCUUUGCAAGAGGUGUUGCCAGCAUUAGAUUUUGCAACUCCAUCAUUAACAUUCGAUUCCUGGCUAGUAAUGUCUCAUAUAAAUGGCCAGUAUCGGCUUGAGUGUCCUUAGCUGUUCCGAGAAUUUGACUGACUGUAGAAGUAAGUUGAUUAAUUUGUACCUGGAUUCUUGUGUUAAUUUCUAUUUGCUUAUUGUUUGAAUUAAUUAAUUGUGCCUCAAUGAACCGAGUUUUUUCUAAAUCGCCGGCAUCCGGUGUGCCUGCCACAACCUUCAACAUGGAACCUAAGAAGUCUUAGCUCCUGGCCACUGUGUGGUGCGCGCCCAACGCCUCUAGCAAAUCUCGGAGGUGAUCUGCAUCCACGCUCAGAAGCUUUUUCAUUUGCGACUGUGGGAACAUGACAUUCAAUUGGACCGUUUCUUCUACUCUACGCAUGUAUUCUGAGAGAUUCGCUGAAUGUUUAACGUAGGCGUAUUCUUCCCAUACUAGGACACGGCCAUCGACAAUGGGAAUGUAUUUGGACUGAGAAUAGUCCGUGAUGCGUGCCGAAGUCAAGGAUAGGAAGAAGGGAAGGACAAAUCCAAACCACAAAUGAUGCCAUUUCAAAAUUUGUCAACAUUUAUACGGAAGCAACAGGCCAGGCAGAGGUAAUUAUCAGAACAACGGUCCCAGAAACAAUAACCAAAGUUAUAACAUAAAUUAUAAUAGGGCAGAAGGCCAAAAUAGAGGAAACUCUAAAGGCCGUGGCAACUCGAAUCGAGGCCACAACAAUAAUGUCCGAGUUACUCAGACUAACUCGGAAAACCAACAAAACCCUUAAGAUAUGCAACAAGACACACCAAAGUACGCACAGUCAAUCUAAACCUCAGUAUCGUACUAAAAUAGAGUAACAGGAUAACAGAUCUGGAAAUAAACAAUAUUUAAAAAAAAAUAAACAAAAAAAAUGAGUAUCUUCAUUAAGAUAAAUAACGAAAAAACAGGUAAUGCAUUUACCCUAUUGUUAGAUACUGGUGCAGACAUAUCACUAUUAAAGGAACAUGUUGAUGCACUUGAAAACAUUAAUUUAAACAUAUCAACUCAUAUAUCUGGCAUCGGGGAAGGCUCAGUUUUUUCUAAAGGUUUAGCAUUCGUAGAAUUAUCUACCGGAAAAUAUGUCAUUCCACACGACUGUCCGACUAUCGGACACGAUUUCCAAAUACCCAGAGAUGGCAAUAUUGGUAUAGACUUCUUUAAAAAGUAUAAUUGCCAAUUUGAUUUCACACAAACAUGUGAUUCUCUAAUACUUCGGCCAAAUAAUUUAAAUUAUCCAAUAAAACUACCAACAACUCAUACUUGUGAUACUGAUGCCACAAUACUUCCAGCUCGUUCUGAAGUAGUCCGUCAAAUCAAUAUUGUUCUGACAGAAAACAA
Molecule: long non-coding RNA, 6820 nt
Organism: Drosophila virilis
Lineage: Eukaryota; Metazoa; Arthropoda; Insecta; Diptera; Drosophilidae
Source: RefSeq, a predicted model, not a curated record